This 74-nucleotide transfer RNA is filed under the name Camelus bactrianus (Bactrian camel). It matches the Rfam family "tRNA". Rfam says of the family: Transfer RNA (tRNA) molecules are approximately 80 nucleotides in length. Their secondary structure includes four short double-helical elements and three loops (D, anti-codon, and T loops). RNAcentral also lists the same sequence under 2 other names. Lineage: Eukaryota; Metazoa; Chordata; Mammalia; Artiodactyla; Camelidae. The record is from Rfam by way of RNAcentral.
GGUGGUAUACAGCUCAGUGGUAGAGUGUGUGCUUGGCAUGCAUGAGGUCCUGGGUUCAAUCCCCAGUGCCUCCG